GGAUUCCCCUAGUAACUGCGAGUGAAGCGGGAAGAGCUCAAAUUUAAAAUCUGGCGGUCUCUGGCCGUCCGAGUUGUAAUCUAGAGAAGUGCUGCCCGCGCUGGACCGUGUACAAGUCUCCUGGAAUGGAGCGUCAUAGAGGGUGAGAAUCCCGUCUCUGACACGGACUACCAGGGCUUUGUGGUACGCUCUCAAAGAGUCGAGUUGUUUGGGAAUGCAGCUCAAAAUGGGUGGUAAAUUCCAUCUAAAGCUAAAUAUUGGCGAGAGACCGAUAGCGAACAAGUACCGUGAGGGAAAGAUGAAAAGAACUUUGGAAAGAGAGUUAAACAGUACGUGAAAUUGCUGAAAGGGAAACGCUUGAAGUCAGUCGCGUUGGCCGGGGAUCAGCCUCGCUUUUGCGUGGUGUACUUUCUGGUUGACGGGUCAGCAUCAAUUUUGACCGCUGGAAAAAGGCUUGGGGAAUGUGGCAGCUUCGGCUGUGUUAUAGCCCUUUGUCACAUACAGCGGUUGGGAUUGAGGAACUCAGCACGCCGCAAGGCCGGGUUUCGACCACGUUCGUGCUUAGGAUGCUGGCAUAAUGGCUUUAAGCGACCCGUCUUGAAACACGGACCAAGGAGUCUAACAUGCCUGCGAGUGUUUGGGUGGAAAACCCGAGCGCGUAAUGAAAGUGAAAGUUGAGAUCCCUGUCGUGGGGAGCAUCGACGCCCGGACCAGAACUUUUGGGACGGAUCCGCGGUAGAGCAUGUAUGUUGGGACCCGAAAGAUGGUGAACUAUGCCUGAAUAGGGUGAAGCCAGAGGAAACUCUGGUGGAGGCUCGUAGCGAUUCUGACGUGCAAAUCGAUCGUCAAAUUUGGGUAUAGGGGCGAAAGACUAAUCGA
RNAcentral lists this ribosomal RNA (879 nucleotides) under Macrolepiota procera (parasol mushroom). RNAcentral describes it as "LSU rRNA". It matches the Rfam family "Eukaryotic large subunit ribosomal RNA", at positions 72 to 938 of the family's 3401-position model. The record is from RNAcentral. Lineage: Eukaryota; Fungi; Basidiomycota; Agaricomycetes; Agaricales; Agaricaceae.